RNAcentral lists this ribosomal RNA (405 nucleotides) under uncultured bacterium. Its description in RNAcentral is "partial 16S ribosomal RNA". It matches the Rfam family "Bacterial small subunit ribosomal RNA", at positions 29 to 526 of the family's 1533-position model. The record is from RNAcentral.
AUUGAACGCUGGCGGCAGGCCUAACACAUGCAAGUCGAACGAGUGGCGGACGGGUGAGUAAUGUAUGGGAAACUGUCUGAUGGAGGGGGAUAACUACUGGAACGGGAGGCUAAUACCGCUUCCAUGGGAGUGGCCCAGAUGGGAUUAGCUGGUGGGUGGGGUAAAGGCCCACCAAGGCGACGAUCCCUAGCUGGUCUGAGAGGAUGACCAGCCACACUGGAACUGAGACACGGUCCAGACUCCUACGGGAGGCAGCAGUGGGGAAUAUUGCACAAUGGGCGCAAGCCUGAUGCAGCCAUGCCGCGUGUAUGAAGAAGGCCUUCGGGUUGUAAAGUACUUUCAGCGGGGAGGCGUUACCCGCAGAAGAAGCACCGGCUAACUCCGUGCCAGCAGCCGCGGUAAUAC